UCAGAUGGCUGAGUGUAAGCGGCGGACUGUAGACCCACAAACGGGGGUUUAAUACCCUCUCUUUC
Molecule: transfer RNA, 65 nt
Filed under: Xenophallus umbratilis
Lineage: Eukaryota; Metazoa; Chordata; Actinopteri; Cyprinodontiformes; Poeciliidae
Description: tRNA-Tyr
Source: RNAcentral